RNAcentral lists this long non-coding RNA (275 nucleotides) under Ananas comosus (pineapple). RNAcentral describes it as "long non-coding RNA (ACOM_LNC034698)". Lineage: Eukaryota; Viridiplantae; Streptophyta; Magnoliopsida; Poales; Bromeliaceae. The record is from RNAcentral.
ACAUUCUCUGGUCGAAAAUCCAGCUUUCUCCAAGAUUUAAACUAAGAAACCACCAAAAAUCUAAAUUUCAGCUCCAAUACAGCAGCAGCUCAGUAAAAUGCCAAAUUGACUAUACAAAUCUCAAUCAAAUGCUGUCAAAAUGGGCUCCACGAAUUUUCCAAGAAGUUAGCUGACCACAAAACCAAGUUUCACAAUAAUCCGAUCCUCCUACGUCACACACGAGCCAAAACGCCGAAGGUCGCUGCUGGAAUUCUUCUGGAACUGCAAUCCUCAAG